RNAcentral lists this long non-coding RNA (230 nucleotides) under Gossypium barbadense (sea-island cotton). Its description in RNAcentral is "long non-coding RNA (GBAR_LNC001279)". The record is from RNAcentral. Lineage: Eukaryota; Viridiplantae; Streptophyta; Magnoliopsida; Malvales; Malvaceae.
GCUAUAGCAGUGCUACCUUGAUUGCCACUAGUAUAGCUUGGACUAAAAGCUUUAACAAUACUAAAAGUUUAGAAAAAAUUCAUAGCAGUGCAUACACGAAAAGUGUUUGGCAAACACCAUCAGCAAGUUGGGUGAAACUUAACAUUGACGGAGGUUUUUCUCUUCAUAAAUCCUGUGUUGCAGUAGGGGGUGUUCCGAAAUCAAGAUGGAGCCUGGUUACUUGGCUUUAC